Molecule: long non-coding RNA, 253 nt
Filed under: Trifolium pratense (red clover)
Lineage: Eukaryota; Viridiplantae; Streptophyta; Magnoliopsida; Fabales; Fabaceae
Description: long non-coding RNA (TPRA_LNC013291)
Source: RNAcentral
UUUGAUUGUUUUUAGGAGAAGAGACAAGUUGUCAUCUUAAGUUAAAACUCCUUUAAUCCACCACAAACAUGAUGACGAUAGAUCUUUGCUUCACAAUAGGGAAGGGCUCUAACUUGGAUAUCAAAUCAACAAGUAUGCCACUAACUCUCCUAGGUGGAAAAGAAUCAAUAUCUUUUGAUUAAAUGUUAUGGGGAUUUUGAGUUUUCAACCAUAGAUGACUCAUGUCUAAACUCUUUGAGAAAAGUUUUAAAGU